Non-coding RNA from Trichonephila inaurata madagascariensis, 473 nucleotides. Lineage: Eukaryota; Metazoa; Arthropoda; Arachnida; Araneae; Nephilidae. The record is from the annotation of a GenBank genome assembly.
AGCUGUAAUUGGCUUAUUAAAUCAGUUAUGAUUCCUUGGAUCAUAAUUCACUACUUGAUAACUGUGGUAAUUAGAAAGGUAAUACAGCUCAGCUCUCUGACCUUUAGGAAUGGACACUUUUUUAGAUCAAAACCCAAUCUGCCACUGGCUCAUCCUCACGUGGUGACUUUGUAUAACUUUGGCCUAAUCACACAGAUUCAUCCUGAUGACAUAUCUUUCACGUGUCUGCCUAAUCGAUUGUUGAUGGUUGCUCAUGCUCUUACAAUGUCAUAUUAGUUGAUGGAGAAUUUGGGUUUGAUUAUGGAGAGAGGGGGGGAUGUCAUCUAAGGAAAGCAGCAGGCAUGCAAAUUACCUAUUCUUGGCUUGAGGAGAUAGUGAUAAGAACUAAUAAUAUGUGACACUUUAUCGGAUUGAAUACAUUCUACCUCCUUUAAUGAGGAUACAUUGUAGGACAAGUCUGGUGCCAGCAACGG